UACGUAGGGGGCAAGCGUUGUCCGGAAUUACUGGGCGUAAAGGGCGCGUAGGCGGGAUGGCAAGUCGGUCGUGAAAGCCUUCGGCUCAACCGAAGAACGUCGGCCGAUACUGCCGUUCUUGAGGGAUGCAGAGGAGACUGGAAUUCCCGGUGUAGCGGUGAAAUGUGUAGAGAUCGGGAGGAACACCGGUGGCGAAGGCGGCAUCCUGGACCAAUAUUGACGCUGAGGAGCGAAAGCCAGGGGAGCAAACGGG
RNAcentral lists this ribosomal RNA (253 nucleotides) under uncultured bacterium. RNAcentral's name for it is "partial 16S ribosomal RNA". It matches the Rfam family "Bacterial small subunit ribosomal RNA", at positions 524 to 776 of the family's 1533-position model. The record is from RNAcentral.